RNAcentral lists this transfer RNA (76 nucleotides) under Crassvirales sp. RNAcentral's name for it is "tRNA-His". It matches the Rfam family "tRNA". From Rfam's summary of the family: Transfer RNA (tRNA) molecules are approximately 80 nucleotides in length. Their secondary structure includes four short double-helical elements and three loops (D, anti-codon, and T loops). Lineage: Duplodnaviria; Heunggongvirae; Uroviricota; Caudoviricetes; Crassvirales. The record is from RNAcentral.
GUGUUAGUAGCUCAAUUGGCAGAGCAAAGGUUUGUGGUUCCUUAGGCUGUGGGUUCAAAUCCCAUCUAACACCCCA